UGGCGGGACGGGGUGGAGUAAUGUCUGGGAAACUGCCUGAUGGAGGGGGGUAACUACUGGAAACGGUAGCUAAUACCGCAUAACGUCGCAAGACCAAAGAGGGGGACCUUCGGGCCUCUUGCCAUCGGAUGUGCCCAGAUGGGAUUAGCUAGUAGGUGGGGUAAAGGCUCACCUAGGCGACGAUCCCUAGCUGGUCUGAGAGGAUGACCAGCCACACUGGAACUGAGACACGGUCCAG
This 238-nucleotide ribosomal RNA is filed under the name uncultured bacterium. Its description in RNAcentral is "partial 16S ribosomal RNA". It matches the Rfam family "Bacterial small subunit ribosomal RNA", at positions 104 to 334 of the family's 1533-position model. The record is from RNAcentral.